Molecule: ribosomal RNA, 323 nt
Filed under: uncultured eukaryote
Lineage: Eukaryota
Description: partial 18S ribosomal RNA
Rfam family: Eukaryotic small subunit ribosomal RNA
Source: RNAcentral
CCCUUAGAUGUUCUGGGCCGCACGCGCGCUACACUGACACAGGCAACGAGCUUUCCUUUACCGAAAGGUAUGGGUAAUCUUUUGAAACUGUGUCGUGCUGGGGAUAGAUCCUUGCAAUUUUUGAUCUUAAACGAGGAAUUCCUAGUAAGCGCGAGUCAUCAACUCGCGUUGAUUACGUCCCUGCCCUUUGUACACACCGCCCGUCGCUACUACCGAUUGAGUGAUCCGGUGAAUAAUUCGGACUGCAGCAGUGUUCAGUUCCUGAACGUUGCAGCGGAAAGUUUAGUGAACCUUAUCACUUAGAGGAAGGAGAAGUCGUAACA